AACGAACGCUGGCGGCAGGCUUAACACAUGCAAGUCGAACGCGUGUAGCAAUACACGAGUGGCGCACGGGUGAGUAACGCGUGGAUAUCUGCCUUUUGGUUCGGAAUAACUCCGGGAAACUGGAGCUAAUACCGGAUGGUUCCUUCGGGAUAAAGAUUUAUCGCCAAAAGAUGAGUCCGCGUACGAUUAGCUAGUUGGUGAGGUAAUGGCUCACCAAGGCGACGAUCGUUCGCUGGUCUGAGAGGACGAUCAGCCACGCUGGGACUGAGACACGGCCCAGACUCCUACGGGAGGCAGCAGUGGGGAAUAUUGGACAAUGGGGGCAACCCUGAUCCAGCCAUGCCGCGUGAGUGAUGAAGGCCUUCGGGUUGUAAAGCUCUUUUGGCGGGGACGAUGAUGACGGUACCCGCAGAAUAAGCCCCGGCUAACUUCGUGCCAGCAGCCGCCGUAA
RNAcentral lists this ribosomal RNA (451 nucleotides) under uncultured bacterium. Its description in RNAcentral is "partial 16S ribosomal RNA". It matches the Rfam family "Bacterial small subunit ribosomal RNA", at positions 29 to 523 of the family's 1533-position model. The record is from RNAcentral.